CGUAGCUGCUGGUUAGUUCGGGGUUUGACGCCAAUCUUCAGUUCGAGGCUACGGCGGAGAUGGAGUUCAUGUCAUUCGGCGAUGCACCGUCGACAUUGAUGACUUGUAGAACCCGACAUGCAAGAUCAUCGUUCUUCUCCUCUUGUCAUUGAUGGUUUGUUUGUCGGUGACGACAUGCAAGAACCCAUCUGUAUUGGAUUUUAAUUAUAAGGGAGAUUGGGUUCUGAUUGUUUGUCGUUGAUGGUUUGUUUGUCGGUGACGACGGGAAACUGGAACUUGAUUGGGUAAUGAAUUCGGUGGGUUGAGAAGCAAGAUAAGGACCUUCCAUCAAGUCAGAAAUUGAGAAAAAUGGAAGGUAUUAGACGAUGAAGGAAAACAGAGAGGGAACUAGAAAAGGAGAAGAGGAGCGUACUGUUGCUUCUAGUAUAACAACGCAGCAAGAAGAAAGGAAUUCGUGAUUAAGGACUUUACAAGACCUCCAGUUAUCCACGAUGCAAGUAGUGGUGGUGUUUGCUGAACAUUGUGGAGUAAAGGCUCAAGCUCCAGGAAUAACAGGUAGGGGAUUCAAGACUCCCCUUGAUUAGUGCCUUUCAUAUAUAACGUAUAUACAAUGGUGAUUGCAUGGCUAUGGUUAUUUCCUUAUGAAUUUAAAGAUUUUGAUAUUUUAAUCGCCAUGCUUGUUUUCAAUUAUUUUCGAGAUUGUAUGAUGACCUGAGAGUGAGCGGAGCAUAGCGACUACCUUGGGUUUCAAUCCCCUAAACCUCCGGAGGGGCUGUAUGGACGGUAUAGUGUCUGACAUCCCUUGUGGUGUGGCACUAUUUCUAGGUGAUACGGCGUAAAUGGACACUCUCGCUACUCCUUGCCGGUUGAAAUGUUAAUCUUGGUAAGGGUGUAGUUGGCAUAGUGACCGGUCAUCAGGCCCGUUCCAAAGCGGACGUCCGCACUUUGCUAAAGUGCGGACGGCGACGCAGCGGAGGCUUUCCAGGGGGCGACGGCAGCUCGGGGCUUGGCGGACGGAGGCCGGAGGCUUGGCGGACGGGUCUGGGCAGCGUUCGAGGUCGGAGGAGGUCCGAGUUGUAGGUUCGAGGACGGGUCUGCUUCCGUAUAUAUAUAUAUAUAUAUAUAUAUAGUUUUCACAUACUGGCUAGUAAAUUAAAUAGUUUUCAAACCUAAUCGGGUUGAGUCUUUUUUGAGCAGCGAGGACGAAAGCUCACCCCUACAACAGCUUUAGAUGCAGGUACUGUGCACAAGAAUGGAAGAGAGCUGAAUCAAGUUGGGUGUGCAUAAUUGUUAAAUGCUAAGUGUCUUUGAAACUUUGUAAUCACACGUAAGGUUUCAAUUUCAUAUCCUAGUGUUUGGUACAUUUCUUGUAUUAUUGGAAAUCUUGCUCGGAAUUGUUUGUCUUGCAAUUGCCUUAUUCUUCGACCACUUACCCACACCGUCAAUGAGCCAUGUUUUGGUUAAUCGUGAAAAUGUCAUUUUUGCGUUGUAUUUCGACACUAUUCU
Molecule: long non-coding RNA, 1506 nt
Organism: Rosa rugosa (rugosa rose)
Lineage: Eukaryota; Viridiplantae; Streptophyta; Magnoliopsida; Rosales; Rosaceae
Exons: 4
Source: RefSeq, a predicted model, not a curated record